GACGAACGCUGGCGGCGUGCUUAACACAUGCAAGUCGAACGGAAAGGCCCUGCUUUUGUGGGGUGCUCGAGUGGCGAACGGGUGAGUAACACGUGAGUAACCUGCCCUUGACUUUGGGAUAACUUCAGGAAACUGGGGCUAAUACCGGAUAGGAGCUCCUGCUGCAUGGUGGGGGUUGGAAAGUUUCGGCGGUUGGGGAUGGACUCGCGGCUUAUCAGCUUGUUGGUGGGGUAGUGGCUUACCAAGGCUUUGACGGGUAGCCGGCAUGAGAGGGUGACCGGCGACAAUAGGACUGAGAUACGGCCCAGACUCCUACGGGAGGCAGCAGUGGGGAAUAUUGCACAAUGGGCGGGAGCCUGAUGCAGCGACGCCGCGUGCGGGAUGACGGCCUUCGGGUUGUAAAACGCUUUCGCCUGUGACGAAGCGUGAGUGACGGUAAUGAGUAAAGAAGCACCGGCUAACUACGUG
This 468-nucleotide ribosomal RNA is filed under the name uncultured bacterium. RNAcentral describes it as "partial 16S ribosomal RNA". It matches the Rfam family "Bacterial small subunit ribosomal RNA", at positions 28 to 507 of the family's 1533-position model. The record is from RNAcentral.